UGGGGAAUAUUGCACAAUGGGCGCAAGCCUGAUGCAGCCAUGCCGCGUGUAUGAAGAAGGCCUUCGGGUUGUAAAGUACUUUCAGCGGGGAGGAAGGGAGUAAAGUUAAUACAUUUGCUCAUUUACGUUACCCGCAGAAGAAGCACCGGUUAACUCCGUGCCAGCAGCCGCGGUAAUACGGAGGGUGCAAGCGUUAAUCGGAAUUACUGGGCGUAAAGCGUACGCAGGCGGUUUGUUAAGUCAGAUGUGAAAUCCCCGGGCUCAACCUGGGAACAGCAUCGGAUACUGGCAAGCUUGAGUCUCGUAGAGGGGGGUAGAAUUCCAGGUGUAGCGGUGAAAUGCGUAGAGAUCUGGAGGAAUACCGGUUGCGAAGGCGGCCCCCUGGACGAAGACUGACGCUCAGGUGCGAAAGCGUGGGGAGCAAACAGG
This 429-nucleotide ribosomal RNA is filed under the name Chloroflexota bacterium. RNAcentral describes it as "Chloroflexi bacterium partial 16S ribosomal RNA". It matches the Rfam family "Bacterial small subunit ribosomal RNA", at positions 355 to 776 of the family's 1533-position model. The record is from RNAcentral. Lineage: Bacteria; Bacillati; Chloroflexota.